Molecule: ribosomal RNA, 547 nt
Filed under: uncultured bacterium
Lineage: Bacteria
Description: bacterial SSU rRNA
Rfam family: Bacterial small subunit ribosomal RNA
Source: RNAcentral
UGGGGAAUAUUGCGCAAUGGGGGGAACCCUGACGCAGCCAUGCCGCGUGAAUGAAGAAGGCCUUCGGGUUGUAAAGUUCUUUCGGUAUUGAGGAAGGUUGAUGUGUUAAUAGCACAUCAAAUUGACGUUAAAUACAGAAGAAGCACCGGCUAACUCCGUGCCAGCAGCCGCGGUAAUACGGAGGGUGCGAGCGUUAAUCGGAAUAACUGGGCGUAAAGGGCACGCAGGCGGUUAUUUAAGUGAGGUGUGAAAGCCCUGGGCUUAACCUAGGAAUUGCAUUUCAGACUGGGUAACUAGAGUACUUUAGGGAGGGGUAGAAUUCCACGUGUAGCGGUGAAAUGCGUAGAGAUGUGGAGGAAUACCGAAGGCGAAGGCAGCCCCUUGGGAAUGUACUGACGCUCAUGUGCGAAAGCGUGGGGAGCAAACAGGAUUAGAUACCCUGGUAGUCCACGCUGUAAACGCUGUCGAUUUGGGGAUUGGGCUUAGAGCUUGGUGCCCGUAGCUAACGUGAUAAAUCGACCGCCUGGGGAGUACGGCCGCAAGGUCA